GCCACGAGGUCGUCCCUGUCCUCCAUCGCGGGCGACCGCCGCCGCCGGUGGAUCGGGCUAGUCCUCAUCACCGGUGAGCUAUGCCGCCACCACGUCUACAACUCCACCACGUCAAGACCACCACCACGUCGAGACCACCACCAGUUCUACAUCAUCGCAACAUCCAGAGACGCCGCCAGUUAGCAGAGCUAUCAAGUGGACAAUUGUAAGGUGCUCCAUAUCAUGCUGAGGCAGCAACGACCUGUGGUGAGACCAGCGAUGAGGUACGCGCGGCCGGCCACGAUCGUCUGGAGGGCGACAACGAGCUGCUCGGAGGUCACUGACGAUCUGCUGGAGGCCUGCCACGAGCUUGUGUUUGUAGUCUAGAGUGUGAUUGCUUCAUGUCUUUGGUCUAUUUUGACCCGUUAGGGCUAGCGCAGCUGACGUGCACCAUAUUACAUGGUGCCAAAGUGUUUCGUUUGCAUGCAAUCCAUUUUAGCAUACAACUAACAGGUUUAUGUACAACAAUGGCUAGUUCUGAAACUUCACCUAUAUGAUGGCUAUAUUAAAUAUGCGGACACAUGAAGAUAAACGACUUUUCUGA
Long non-coding RNA from Lolium rigidum, 583 nucleotides. RefSeq lists it as uncharacterized. The record is from RefSeq and is a predicted model, not a curated record. The transcript is spliced from 2 exons. Lineage: Eukaryota; Viridiplantae; Streptophyta; Magnoliopsida; Poales; Poaceae.